RNAcentral lists this ribosomal RNA (387 nucleotides) under Triticum aestivum (bread wheat). RNAcentral describes it as "partial small subunit ribosomal RNA". The record is from RNAcentral. Lineage: Eukaryota; Viridiplantae; Streptophyta; Magnoliopsida; Poales; Poaceae.
AUGACUAAGAACAUUGGUAACAUUCACACCCUUAAUAUAAUAAGUAUCCUUCUUAUCCUGAUCGAUAUCAAGUACUCUUACUUAUCAUGGUUAAUAAAAAUAUAUUGUCGUACUAUUUAUUUCAUAAGCUACAGAUUCACUAAUUAUCUAGAUAACAUCCUUGUUCUCCUGGGCUUUGCUUUCCAUACUUCAUCUUCAUCUUCAAGCAUUGUAUUUUUGGCUUUUGCCUUAACACGUUUCUUGUUCCCGCAGGCAGCUUUGUCCUUUUGUUCAAGCAUAUUCGUCUCAAUGCAUUCAUCCUCUGAGCUAUCUGAUAUUGCAACAGAUCUAAGUCUCCUUUUAUUGCCACUUCGGAGCACAUGUGAUGAUGAUGAUACUUUGUCUUGA